UGGUACCACACUGAUCACAAGAUAAGAUGUUUUUUAUUUUCUCGUCAUCAAAUAGGAACAUUUAAAGUGAAGCAAGUUGUUGAUAUCAUUGGUGCAGGACUAGAAAAAAAUAAUUUACAGGUUUUGAAGACAAAAUCUUUUCACCAAAUAUACCUGAGCUUGAUUGGUGUGUGCAAAUCUAAGCCAAAAAACAUUCUAUUCAAGAUUAAUCCUGGUAAGAUACUAAAAAGAUAAGUGCUACACGAUAAAACAUUUUUAGAAGUACACUUUUAACAUUUUUGGAAAGAUUUUUUCACUUACUAUUUAAGUUUUUAAAAAAAGUUAUUUCUCUUUGGGAGUUGAGAGAAUGCUCAAUUCUGUAAUGCAUACCCCAAAAAACUAUUAAUUGAUGG
RNAcentral lists this long non-coding RNA (392 nucleotides) under Anas platyrhynchos platyrhynchos (common mallard). RNAcentral's name for it is "lncRNA (ENSAPLG00000024218.1)". Lineage: Eukaryota; Metazoa; Chordata; Aves; Anseriformes; Anatidae. The record is from RNAcentral.